UGGGGAAUUUUGGACAAUGGGCGCAAGCCUGAUCCAGCCAUGCCGCGUGCGGGAAGAAGGCCUUCGGGUUGUAAACCGCUUUUGUCAGGGAAGAAAUCUUCUGAGUUAAUACCUCGGGAGGAUGACGGUACCUGAAGAAUAAGCACCGGCUAACUACGUGCCAGCAGCCGCGGUAAUACGUAGGGUGCAAGCGUUAAUCGGAAUUACUGAGCGUAAAGCGUGCGCAGGCGGUUUUUGUAAGACAGAGGUGAAAUCCCCGGGCUCAACCUGGGAACUGCCUUUGUGACUGCAAGGCUUGAGUGCGGCAGAGGGGGGAUGGAAUUCCGCGUGUAGCAGUGAAAUGCGUAGAUAUGCGGAGGAACACCGAUGGCGAAGGCAAUCCCCUGGGCCUGCACUGACGCUCAUGCACGAAAAGCGUGGGGAGCAAACAGGAUUAGAUACCCUGGUAGUCCACGCCCUAAAACGAUGUCAACUGGUUGUUGGGAAGGUUCCUUCUCAGUAACGUAGCUAACGCGUGAAGUUGACCGCCUGGGGAGUACGGCCGC
Molecule: ribosomal RNA, 545 nt
Filed under: uncultured bacterium
Lineage: Bacteria
Description: partial 16S ribosomal RNA
Rfam family: Bacterial small subunit ribosomal RNA
Source: RNAcentral